Molecule: long non-coding RNA, 1610 nt
Organism: Mercenaria mercenaria
Lineage: Eukaryota; Metazoa; Mollusca; Bivalvia; Venerida; Veneridae
Exons: 5
Source: RefSeq, a predicted model, not a curated record
UGACGAAGAUUUUUAAGUGUUAACGUUUCAACAUUUAGUGAAAUAUCACAAACCUAAUGAGUGAAUUAGCGAAUUGUUUCCCUUUGAAAUCAACACGCCAUUAUCGGUGGAUACAUGUCUGAAACUGGGUCAGAGAAUACAUGCAGUUAUUGCUCUGAAUAUACGCGGAUAUUUAAAGUGCAUGGCGGAUUUAAUAAUUGUUAUGGAUAACCUCCAGCAGUAAGAAAUAUAAAGGCUCACUGCAGUUUUGAGUGCUCAACAAGUAUUGACCCCAUACUAUGCUCAGCAAGUAGGGCCCUUGUAUUUCUGUGAAUCCUCAUGCAGUACAGUACUGCUGUUGGAAGAGGAGCAAACAGUGUGGUACCUAUGGUUCACCAUCACUUCAAGCAUCAUGGCUAUGGAGAAAAGAAUGUUUCAUUACAUAUGGACAAUUAUAGUGGACAAAAUUAUAAGAAAAGUGUUGUAAUAAGCUAUGGAAUGUGGCUUGUUAUGAUGGGUCUACAUGAUGACUUGGAGUACAGCCUGAUGGAGGCCCGGCAUACAGAAUUCAGUCCUGAACAUGUUUAGAAUGUCUUCUGCAUGACCUGGUAUAGAUAGUAUUCUUGAAGGAUUAUAACUUCAACACAGAGACGGAGAUUAAUAUUUUUAGGCAGGGGGUUGGCAUGACAGGCAAAUUCACCAACCGUAUUACCAUUCCUGAGCUGGAUGCCAGUCGACAGUGGUACCUGUAUAAUGAAAUAGUGCCCCUUUGCAGCAACAGCAAUGUAUGCUCAAAACCAGCAGUGUCAAAGCCAUUAAAAUUGAUAAUUCAAGUCAUUUAAAACGAAGAAUGAAUGGAAAAAAAGUGUUUAACAUUUAAAGUAAUACAGAGAAAGAGCUCUGAAAUUUUGAAUAAUUUGAAAGUGUUUUUGAUUUUUUGAAGAUGUACUAGACCCAAAUUCCAUAUAUUUGAAAAAUAACAAAUGAUACAUAUAGUUUAUGUAAACAUUAAAUUAACAACUUUAUGGUGUCACCAGUACUAUGCAUUUGUUAAAUAUUGACUCACUAUAUACAUGUAAGGCUUAACACAGUAUAAAUGUGAAAUUCCUCUAAAACACUGGAAGAUUUUUCAACAAUAAUUGUGACAUAUAUGGUAGUACAUUUUUUUCAUUACGACAGUUGGAUUAUAUAGAUCUACGAAUAUUUUCUGCUGUAUUCAAACUGCAUGUAUCAUUUCUGUCGGUAUCAUGUUUAUUUUCACUUUUCAUGAACAAUUAAUUUAACCUGUCUUGAAAGCACAAUAUAUGUAUAAUUUGUAAAACACACAUUGGAUUAUUGUGGAAACAAUUUAGUUUUUAUAUGCCUAAUUAUAUAUUAUUGCCGUUAGUAUCAUCUAACUCUUUUAAUAUGAUCAAGACAUUUAAUAAGGCAGUUUUCUUAAACUAUUACUGUGUGUUAAAUGAGAUUAUGUAGUAUUAUGUUUACGGAAUUAACUGCGUAACCAUGGAAACAUUUUUCUGUUGUUCUAUAUUAUGUCUUGAAAAAAAACAUUGUUUGAAGAACUCUUUUCAGUGGUGCAUUUUUUAAAAAUUUUACAUGUAAUGGUAAAUGCUGAAAGUGUUCUACAAUAA